Molecule: ribosomal RNA, 497 nt
Filed under: uncultured bacterium
Lineage: Bacteria
Description: partial 16S ribosomal RNA
Rfam family: Bacterial small subunit ribosomal RNA
Source: RNAcentral
GAUGAACGCUGGCGGCGUGCCUAAUACAUGCAAGUCGAGCGAACAGAUGAGGAGCUUGCUCCUCUGACGUUAGCGGCGGACGGGUGAGUAUCACGUGGAUAACCUACCUAUAAGACUGGGAUAACUUCGGGAAACCGGAGCUAAUACCGGAUAAUAUAUUGAACCGCAUGGUUCAAUAGUGAAAGACGGUUUUGCUGUCACUUAUAGAUGGAUCCGCGCCGCAUUAGCUAGUUGGUAAGGUAACGGCUUACCAAGGCAACGAUGCGUAGCCGACCUGAGAGGGUGAUCGGCCACACUGGAACUGAGACACGGUCCAGACUCCUACGGGAGGCAGCAGUAGGGAAUCUUCCGCAAUGGGCGAAAGCCUGACGGAGCAACGCCGCGUGAGUGAUGAAGGUCUUCGGAUCGUAAAACUCUGUUAUUAGGGAAGAACAAAUGUAUAAGUAACUAUGCACGUCUUGACGGUACCUAAUCAGAAAGCCACGGCUAACUACGUG